Molecule: long non-coding RNA, 361 nt
Filed under: Olea europaea subsp. europaea
Lineage: Eukaryota; Viridiplantae; Streptophyta; Magnoliopsida; Lamiales; Oleaceae
Source: RNAcentral
UGAUCCAUUGCAUUUAUCAUCGUUUGCUUGGCGGUUGUGAACUGUUGUACAAGGUGUGCAUGCAGACAUUUAUCUGCACUACUUCAAAGGUGAAAUACAGGGGACAUGCUGAAGCAAAGCACCCUAAAGCUUAUGUCCAUGCUUGUUUUCCUCAUCUAAAGAAAUCAUGAUUUCCAGUUAAAGUAAAUGUGAAAUAUGGGUUUCAUCAGCGUCUCCAAUCUAUCAUGUGAUUUGGGUUGGACCGGUUCCAUUGUUUCUAUUGAAAUAUUUUUCCAAACUAUUGUUGGUUAAAUAGCUUGAAACUCUUAAAUAUGUUUCUAAUAUCUCUUAGGUUCACUUUUAGUUCAUUUUGUUAAACUGG